GGAGGGUAUAGCUCAAUGGUAGAGCAUGUGUUUAGCAUGCACAAGGUCCUGGGUUCAAUCCCCAGUACCUCCA
This 73-nucleotide transfer RNA is filed under the name Vicugna pacos (alpaca). RNAcentral's name for it is "tRNA-Ala (AGC) (tRNA-Ala-AGC-767-1)". It matches the Rfam family "tRNA". From Rfam's summary of the family: Transfer RNA (tRNA) molecules are approximately 80 nucleotides in length. Their secondary structure includes four short double-helical elements and three loops (D, anti-codon, and T loops). Lineage: Eukaryota; Metazoa; Chordata; Mammalia; Artiodactyla; Camelidae. The record is from RNAcentral.